GAUGAAGAACGCAGCGAAAUGCGAUAAGUAAUGUGAAUUGCAGAAUUCAGUGAAUCAUCGAAUCUUUGAACGCAUCUUGCGCUCCUUGGUAUUCUGAGGAGCAUGCCUGUUUGAGUGUCAUUAAAUUCUCAACUACACUGACUUUGAAUUGGUGUGGCUUGGAUUUGGGGGGAAAAUUGUUGUGGGCUUUUUGUAUAGUCUGCUCCCCUGAAAUUGAUUAGCGGUACCUUUGUGGAACUGUCUACAGGUGUGAUAAUUAUCUACAUCUUAGACAUCUGCUGGAAUGCUGCUUUCUAAACCUUACUUGUAUUGCCAAUCUUGACCUCAAAUCAGGUAGGACUACCCGCUGAACUUAAGCAUAUCAAUAAGCGGAGGA
This 376-nucleotide unclassified non-coding RNA is filed under the name soil metagenome. RNAcentral describes it as "partial contains 5.8S ribosomal RNA, internal transcribed spacer 2, and large subunit ribosomal RNA". The stretch from base 1 to 120 matches the Rfam family "5.8S ribosomal RNA", at positions 35 to 154 of the family's 154-position model. The record is from RNAcentral.